GGUUAAUGGGGACGGACUGUAAAUCCGCUGGCAAUGCCUACGCUGGUUCAAAUCCAGCUCGGCCCAA
Molecule: transfer RNA, 67 nt
Filed under: Rhynchostegium riparioides
Lineage: Eukaryota; Viridiplantae; Streptophyta; Bryopsida; Hypnales; Brachytheciaceae
Description: tRNA-Tyr
Rfam family: tRNA
About the family: Transfer RNA (tRNA) molecules are approximately 80 nucleotides in length. Their secondary structure includes four short double-helical elements and three loops (D, anti-codon, and T loops).
Source: RNAcentral